This 493-nucleotide ribosomal RNA is filed under the name uncultured bacterium. Its description in RNAcentral is "bacterial SSU rRNA". It matches the Rfam family "Bacterial small subunit ribosomal RNA", at positions 903 to 1397 of the family's 1533-position model. The record is from RNAcentral.
AAAUGAAUUGACGGGGACUCGCACAAGCGGUGGAGCAUGCGGAUUAAUUCGAUGCAACGCGAAGAACCUUACCAGGUCUUGACAUCCCACUGACCGGCUUAGAGAUAAGCCUUCCCUUCGGGGCAGUGGUGACAGGUGGUGCAUGGUUGUCGUCAGCUCGUGUCGUGAGAUGUUGGGUUAAGUCCCACAACGAGCGCAACCCUUAUCAUUAGUUGCUAACAUUAAGUUGAGAACUCUAAUGAGACCGCCGGUGAUAAACCGGAUGAAGGUGGGGAUGACGUCAAAUCAUCAUGCCCCUUAUGACCUGGGCUUCACGCGUGCUACAAUGGCUAGUACAAAGAGUUGCAAAACCGCGAGGUUAAGCUAAUCUCAUAAAACUAGUCUCAGUUCGGAUUGUAGUCUGCAACUCGACUACAUGAAGUUGGAAUCGCUAGUAAUCGCAAAUCAGAAUGUUGCGGUGAAUACGUUCUCGAGUCUUGUACACACCGCCCGU